GACGAACGCUGGCGGCGUGCUUAACACAUGCAAGUCGAACGGUGAAGCAGAGCUUGCUCGGUGGAUCAGUGGCGAACGGGGGAGUAACACGUGAGUAACCCGCCCUCGACUCUGGGAUAAGCGUUGGAAACGACGUCUAAUACCGGAGACGAGCGGAGACCGCAUGGGCAGCAGGUUGAAAGAUUUUGUGGUCAAGGAUGGACUCGCGGCCUAUCAGCUUGUUGGUGAGGGAAUGGCUCACCAAGGCGACGACGGGUAGCCGGCCUGAGAGGGUGACCGGCCACACUGGGACUGAGACACGGCCCAGACUCCUACGGGAGGCAGCAGUGGGGAAUAUUGCACAAUGGGCGGAAGCCUGAUGCAGCAACGCCGCGUGAGGGAUGACGGCCUUCGGGUUGUAAACCUCUUUUAGUAGGGAAGAAGCGAAAGUGACGGUACCUGCAGAAAAAGCACCGGCUAACUACGUG
This 467-nucleotide ribosomal RNA is filed under the name uncultured bacterium. Its description in RNAcentral is "partial 16S ribosomal RNA". It matches the Rfam family "Bacterial small subunit ribosomal RNA", at positions 28 to 507 of the family's 1533-position model. The record is from RNAcentral.